RNAcentral lists this small nuclear RNA (106 nucleotides) under Felis catus (domestic cat). Its description in RNAcentral is "U4 spliceosomal RNA". It matches the Rfam family "U4 spliceosomal RNA". From Rfam's summary of the family: U4 small nuclear RNA (U4 snRNA) is a component of the major U2-dependent spliceosome. The structure of U4 snRNA from yeast and human has been reported. U4 snRNA presents a k-turn RNA motif in the 5p-SL related to recognition of Snu13 protein. The record is from Rfam by way of RNAcentral. Lineage: Eukaryota; Metazoa; Chordata; Mammalia; Carnivora; Felidae.
AGCUUUGCACAGUGGUAGUAUCGUAGCCAAUGAGGUUUAUCUGAGGCACGAUUAUUGCUAAUUGAAAACUUUGUAUCUUUGGAUAUGUUGCUGCUUCUUCAUAGAA